CACGGGGGGAGCAAGCGUUGUUCGGAAUUACUGGGCGUAAAGCGCGUGUAGGCGGUUAUGCAAGUCGGGUGUGAAAGCCCGGAGCUCAACUCCGGAAGUGCAUUCGAUACUGCGUAGCUAGAGUACUGGAGAGGAUGGUGGAACUCUCGGUGUAGAGGUGAAAUUCGUAGAUAUCGAGAAGAACACCGGUGGCGAAGGCGGCCAUCUGGACAGAUACUGACGCUGAGACGCGAAAGCGUGGGGAGCAAACAGG
RNAcentral lists this ribosomal RNA (253 nucleotides) under uncultured bacterium. Its description in RNAcentral is "partial 16S ribosomal RNA". It matches the Rfam family "Bacterial small subunit ribosomal RNA", at positions 524 to 776 of the family's 1533-position model. The record is from RNAcentral.